GAUGAACGCUGACAGAAUGCUUAACACAUGCAAGUCAACUUGAAUUUGGGUUUUUAACUUAGGUUUGGGUGGCGGACGGGUGAGUAACGCGUAAAGAACCUGCCUCACAGCUAGGGACAACAUUUGGAAACGAAUGCUAAUACCUAAUAUUAUGAUAAUAGGGCAUCCUAUAAUUAUGAAAGCUAUAAGCGCUGUGAGAGAGCUUUGCGUCCCAUUAGCUAGUUGGAGAGGUAACGGCUCACCAAGGCGAUGAUGGGUAGCCGGCCUGAGAGGGUGAUCGGCCACAAGGGGACUGAGACACGGCCCUUACUCCUACGGGAGGCAGCAGUGGGGAAUAUUGGACAAUGGACCGAGAGUCUGAUCCAGCAAUUCUGUGUGCACGAUGAAGUUUUUCGGAAUGUAAAGUGCUUUCAGUUGGGAAGAAACAAAUGACGGUACCAACAGAAGAAGUGACGGCUAAAUACGUG
RNAcentral lists this ribosomal RNA (467 nucleotides) under uncultured bacterium. RNAcentral's name for it is "partial 16S ribosomal RNA". It matches the Rfam family "Bacterial small subunit ribosomal RNA", at positions 28 to 507 of the family's 1533-position model. The record is from RNAcentral.